UGUCUGGAAACCAUAGUAUUGUGGUCCCACCUGAUCCCAUCCCGAACUCAGAAGUGAAACGCAAUUGCGCCGAUGGUAGUGUGGGGUCUCCCCAUGUGAGAGUAGGUCAUUUCCAGG
This 117-nucleotide ribosomal RNA is filed under the name Shewanella waksmanii. The record is from RNAcentral. Lineage: Bacteria; Pseudomonadati; Pseudomonadota; Gammaproteobacteria; Alteromonadales; Shewanellaceae.